Molecule: non-coding RNA, 167 nt
Organism: Populus trichocarpa (black cottonwood)
Lineage: Eukaryota; Viridiplantae; Streptophyta; Magnoliopsida; Malpighiales; Salicaceae
Source: Rfam
UUUAUGACUCCAAAUGUAGGCUGAAAAUUGAAACAAGAUCUAGGCUGCAGCGAAGUUCUGGAUAAAUUUGGACUUCUCUGUUUAUAUUAUGUUUUGAACUUCAAAAUGGUAUAACUGGGUUUUGGACUCUUCAUAAAAGUUUUAAGCUUACAUCUUAGCUUUUUAAC